CGGACGGGUGAGUAACGCGUGGGAACAUGCCUAUUAGUUGGGGACAACCUGUGGAAACGCAGGCUAAUACCGAAUACGUACUAUGGUAUAAAGGGUGCCUCUCCUUGGAAGCAUUCGCUAAUAGAUUGGCCCGCGUUGGAUUAGCUAGUUGGUGGGGUAAAAGCCUACCAAGGCGACAAUCCAUAGCUGGUUUGAGAGGAUGAUCAGCCACACUGGGACUGAGACACGGCCCAGACUCCUACGGGAGGCAGCAGUGGGGAAUAUUGGACAAUGGGCGCAAGCCUGAUCCAGCAAUGCCGCGUGUGUGAAGAAGGCCUGAGGGUUGUAAAGCACUUUCAAUUGUGAAGAAGGGUUUAAGUUUAAAUAAACUUGAACAUUGGACGUUAACAAAUAAGAAAGAAGCACCGGCUAACUCCUGGUGCCAGCAGCCGGCGGUAAUACAGAGGGGUGGCAAGCGUUAAUCGGAAUUACUGGGGCGUAAAGCGCGCGUAGGUGGUUUGAUAAGUUGGAUGUGAAAUCCCCGGGCUUAACCUGGGUCGGUCAUUCAAAACUGUCAGACUAGAGUAUGGUAGAGGGUAGUGGAAUUUCUAGUGUAGCGGUGAAAUGCGUAGAUAUUAGAAGGAACACCAGUGGCGAAAGCGACUGCCUGGACUGAUACUGACACUGAGGUGCGAAAGCGUGGGUAGCGAACAGGAUUAGAUACCCUGGUAGUCCACGCCGUAAACGAUGACAACUAGACGUUGGGUCCCUUAGAGGAUUUAGUGUCGAGCUACGCG
Molecule: ribosomal RNA, 776 nt
Filed under: uncultured bacterium
Lineage: Bacteria
Description: bacterial SSU rRNA
Rfam family: Bacterial small subunit ribosomal RNA
Source: RNAcentral